Molecule: non-coding RNA, 21 nt
Filed under: Caenorhabditis elegans
Lineage: Eukaryota; Metazoa; Nematoda; Chromadorea; Rhabditida; Rhabditidae
Source: RNAcentral
UGCGUAUUCUACCAUCAGAUA